This 497-nucleotide ribosomal RNA is filed under the name uncultured bacterium. RNAcentral describes it as "partial 16S ribosomal RNA". It matches the Rfam family "Bacterial small subunit ribosomal RNA", at positions 28 to 507 of the family's 1533-position model. The record is from RNAcentral.
GAUGAACGCUGGCGGCGUGCCUAAUACAUGCAAGUCGAGCGAACAGACGAGGAUCUUGCUCCUCUGACGUUAGCGGCUGACGGGUGAGUAACACGUGGAUAACCUACCUAUAAGACUUGGAUAACUUCGGGAAACCGGAGCUAAUACCGUAUAAUAUAUUGAUCCGCAUGGUUCUAUAGUUAAAGACGGUUUUGCUGUCACUUAUAGAUGGAUCCUCGCCGCAUUAGCUAGUUGGUAAGGUAACGGCUUACCAAGGCAACGAUGCGUAGCCGACAUGAGAGGGUGAUCGGCCAAACGGGAACUGAGACACGGAACAGAAGACUACGGGAGGCAGCAGUAGGGAAUAUUCCGCAAUGGGCGAAAGCUUGACGGAGCAACGCCGCGUGAGUGAUGAAGGUCUUCGGAUCGUAAAACUCUGUUAUUAGGGAAGAACAAAUGUGUAAGUAAAUAUGCACGUAUUGACGGUACCUAAUCAGAAAGCAACGGCUAACUACGUG